UACAGAGGGUGCGAGCGUUAAUCGGAGUUACUGGGCGUAAAGGGCGCGUAGGCGGAUGUUUAAGUGAAAUGUGAAAUCCCUGGGCUUAACCUAGGAACUGCAUCUCAUACUGGAUAUCUGGAGUAUUGUAGAGGGUAGUGGAAUUUCCGGUGUAGCGGUGAAAUGCGUAGAGAUCGGAAGGAACACCAGUGGCGAAGGCGGCUACCUGGACAAAUACUGACGCUGAGGCGCGAAAGCGUGGGGAGCAAACAGG
Molecule: ribosomal RNA, 253 nt
Filed under: uncultured prokaryote
Description: partial 16S ribosomal RNA
Rfam family: Bacterial small subunit ribosomal RNA
Source: RNAcentral